CGGGAAAAGCUCAAAUUUAAAAUCUGGUGGCCGAAAGGUUGCCCGAGUUGUAAUUUGCAGAGGAUGCUUUUGACAAGGUGCCUUCCGAGUUCCCUGGAACGGGACGCCAUAGAGGGUGAGAGCCCCGUCUGGUCGGAUACCGCGUCUCUGUAAAGCUCCUUCGAC
Molecule: ribosomal RNA, 165 nt
Filed under: Sarocladium sp.
Lineage: Eukaryota; Fungi; Ascomycota; Sordariomycetes; Hypocreales; Sarocladiaceae
Description: partial large subunit ribosomal RNA
Rfam family: Eukaryotic large subunit ribosomal RNA
Source: RNAcentral